RNAcentral lists this transfer RNA (67 nucleotides) under Botrylloides violaceus. Its description in RNAcentral is "transfer RNA-His". Lineage: Eukaryota; Metazoa; Chordata; Ascidiacea; Stolidobranchia; Styelidae. The record is from RNAcentral.
UAUAUUAUAGUUCAAAUUAGAAUGCAAACUUGUGGAGUUUGAGGCAUAAGGGGACUUAUUAUUAUAA